UUCUUUUUCUUUGUUAACUAAUCAUACUAUUUAAAUAUGAUCAAAUAUGUUUUGCCUAUGAGACAUGACCAUAAAGAUCAUUUAAAAAAUAGAGAACUCUAGUCAAACAUAAAAUUUAGGCUCUUACUUUUAUUAUUUUCAAAAUAAAAAUUUCAUUGCACCACUACCAUUGACACCACUUUUAUCAUCACUAUUAUCGCCAUGACCAUCUCUAUACUAUCUGCAUCAUCAUCAUCUCCGUUAUUAUUAUCAUCUUCACUACCACUAUGACCACUAUC
RNAcentral lists this long non-coding RNA (278 nucleotides) under Elaeis guineensis (African oil palm). RNAcentral describes it as "long non-coding RNA (EGUI_LNC014365)". Lineage: Eukaryota; Viridiplantae; Streptophyta; Magnoliopsida; Arecales; Arecaceae. The record is from RNAcentral.